This 483-nucleotide ribosomal RNA is filed under the name uncultured bacterium. RNAcentral's name for it is "partial 16S ribosomal RNA". It matches the Rfam family "Bacterial small subunit ribosomal RNA", at positions 28 to 507 of the family's 1533-position model. The record is from RNAcentral.
GACGAACGCUGGCGGCGUGCUUAACACAUGCAAGUCGAACGCUGAAGCUCAGCUUUUGUUGGGUGGAUGAGUGGCGAACGGGUGAGUAACACGUGAGUAACCUGCCCCCUUCUUUGGGAUAACGCCCGGAAACGGGUGCUAAUACUGGAUAUUCACUGGUCUUCGCAUGGGGGUUGGUGGAAAGGGUUUUUCUGGUGGGGGAUGGGCUCGCGGCCUAUCAGCUUGUUGGUGGGGUGAUGGCCUACCAAGGCUUUGACGGGUAGCCGGCCUGAGAGGGUGACCGGUCACAUUGGGACUGAGAUACGGCCCAGACUCCUACGGGAGGCAGCAGUGGGGAAGAUUGCACAAUGGGCGCAAGCAUGAUGCAGCGAUGCCGCGUGAGGGAUGGAGGCCUUCGGGUUGUGAACCUCUUUCGCUCAUGGUCAAGCCGCAACAAUGGUUGUGGUGAGGGUAGUGGGUAAAGAAGCGCCGGCUAACUACGUG